This 231-nucleotide RNase MRP RNA is filed under the name Mesitornis unicolor (brown roatelo). Its description in RNAcentral is "RNase MRP". It matches the Rfam family "RNase MRP", at positions 37 to 266 of the family's 266-position model. Rfam says of the family: RNase MRP is an enzymatically active ribonucleoprotein with two distinct roles in eukaryotes. Lineage: Eukaryota; Metazoa; Chordata; Aves; Mesitornithiformes; Mesitornithidae. The record is from Rfam by way of RNAcentral.
GAGGACGCUAGUUCCUCACGGGCCGUUGGGCCCGCCUAGGGGAAAGUCCCCGGACCGCUGGCAGAGAGUGCCGGGCGCUGCAAGCGCCCUUGCUCGUCCCCACCUCACGCAGUCACUGCCGAGACGCCCCCAGGCUGAGCGGGUGAGCGCGGGGCGGGCUCUCGUCACGGCCACAGACCCGCAGGGAGUGCGCAGGCGCACUUACAAAACGGGGCUCACUCUCAGGCCAUC